Molecule: ribosomal RNA, 292 nt
Filed under: uncultured bacterium
Lineage: Bacteria
Description: partial 16S ribosomal RNA
Source: RNAcentral
GGACUACCGGGGUAUCUAAUCCUGUUUGCUCCCCACGCUUUCGUGCCUCAACGUCAGAAAUGGACCAAGAAGCUGCCUUCGCCAUCGGUGUUCCUCUCGAGAUCUACGCAUUUUACCGCUACUCCGAGAAUUCCACUUCUCUCUUCCAUCCUCAAGCAAUCCAGUUUCAAUCACAGAUUCCCAGUUAAGCCAGGAGAUUUAAUGAUUGACUUAUAUCGCCGUCUACGCACCCUUUACGCCCAAUGAUUCCGAAUAACGUUUGCACCCCUCGUAUUACCGCGGCUGCUGGCAC